This 2054-nucleotide long non-coding RNA is filed under the name Homo sapiens (human). RNAcentral's name for it is "HSALNT0354166". Lineage: Eukaryota; Metazoa; Chordata; Mammalia; Primates; Hominidae. The record is from RNAcentral.
CAGGCUGCCCUCGGGCAGUCUCAUUUCCAACCCCGGCCAAGAAAGCUGUGCUAGAGGUGGCCUAGAUUUCCAGAGUUUGGGGGCACAAUGUGAGGCCAGAUAUAGAUCCUGUAGAAGACAACUGAACUUGAUUGUUUUAAAGGAUUUCCUAUCAAGAGCACCAUCUGAAGUGGACACAAUUGGAGAAACUGGUUAUUUUACCAAGGCUUUGACUGGAAUGGUGCACUUUCCUUUAAGGAUCAAACAUGACUUAUGGAGCCAAUUAAAUCCCCUUGGGAAAACUGGCCUCAUUGCUUGUCUACACAGUUCCUGUCCAGGGUUCCUGACUUACGGAUGUGAGACUUCACAACCUGCUAAAAAUGAACUUUCCUAAUAACUCGGGACCUACCCAUCUAGGAAUAAACCAUCCUAUUCAUGACAGUGCCUGUGAAAGAUAAAGGAGAAAGAAUCAGGGUUGGAGAACUGGAAAAGUCUUGGCCAACCAAAUAGGCAACCCUGCAGCAAAGAUUGCCCAUUAGAAGAGUCAAAUGCUAGGAAGAAAUUGCAAACCCUACUAUUCUCACUGUGCUCAAACUUCGACUAGGAACUUCCACAAAGAGUGUGGCCUUGGCUUGAACAUUGCAGCAGCAGAUUAUGUAGGUGCUGAACUUGGAGUUUUGCACUUCUCACAGCUGACAGCAAAUUCUUUCUUCAAGGGAGACCUGAGCAGUCCUCCAUAUCUGCCAAAUUACUGCAUAGGAACAAAAAGGAGCCCUCCAUUCAUCUAAGAAGCAAAAUGAACUAGCAGAGAGAGCUUUGGCAUCAGGCAAAUCUGAUUGUAAAUACUUCUAGCAUAUAGUUGCUCUUACAUUGAGUUGGAUUGCUGGAUCAGGAAAUAUUAAUAUUUUAAAGACAUUUAUUACCAAACCAGUAUCAAAAAUAUCACUUUGGUUGACCAUGAUACCAGCAAUGGAUACAUGUAUAUGUUUCCCUGAAAUGCUAUGAAUACUGUUUUUCUGAGGCAUGAAGAGUGAUAAAAUAGUAUCACAGUUCCAGCAAUCACACCUACCAUCAAAGCAGGAAAAGAAGAAAAGCAUAAAGCAAGAGGUUUCACUUGAAUUUUGUCAAGAAAACAAAGACUCGUCCAAAAUUUUCUUUACAUCCUGUUGGUCAAAAAUAGUUUGAACUGGCAGCUCUAACUGCACGAAAGGUUGGAAGUAGUUUAAGAGUGACCACAAUUGAGAAAAAGAACAAGGAACUGGGCAAAGUUCAGAGAUGAGCAAAAGCACUAGUUUUCAUGAAGAGUUACACACAGAAUUAAUUAUGGCCUUUUAUGAAUCAAUAAUAUGCUUGCCUAUGUUCAAUCAGGAUCACAUGAUGACUGUGCUACCUCCAUCCGUCACAUCUUUAUUCAAUCAGGAAAAGAGAGAAGAGAGGUCAUAGCAACCAUGUCUAUCCAUCUUAGUAACAAUUUAGUUUUCUGGCCUGGCGCGGUGGCUCAGGCCUGUAAUCCCAGAACUUUGGGAGGCCGAGGCGGGUGGAUCACCUGAGAUCAGGAGUUCGAGACCAGCCUGAUCAACAUGGUGAAACCCCUGUCUCUACUAAAAAUACAAAAAUUAGCCAGGCAUGGUGGCGCAUGCCUGUAAUCCCAGCUACUUGGGAGGCUGAGGUAGGAAAUCACUUGAACCCAGGAGGCAGAGGUUGCAGUGAGCUGAGACUGUGACACUGCACUCCAGCGGGGGCAAAAAGAGCAAAACUUCAUCUCAAAAAAAGAAUUUAGUUUUCUGGAGGCUACUCUCACAGACUUAUGCUUAGCAUCUGUUAUAAGGUGAAUUGUGUCCUCUUAAAAGUAACAGGUUAAAACCCUAACCCCCAGUACCUCAGAAUGUAACUCUAUUUGAAGAUAGAGGCAAUAAAGAGGUAAUUAUGGUUAAAUAAAGUCAUCUGGGUGGGCCUUCAUUCAAUCUGAGCUGUAUUCUUUAAAAAGAGGGAAAUUUGGACACGUACACAAGACACCAGAGAUAUUCACACACAGAGGAAAGACUAUGAGGGGAUGCAGGUAGAAGGCAGCCUUC